RNAcentral lists this transfer RNA (66 nucleotides) under Tetrapterum tetragonum. RNAcentral's name for it is "partial transfer RNA-Leu". The record is from RNAcentral. Lineage: Eukaryota; Viridiplantae; Streptophyta; Bryopsida; Pottiales; Pottiaceae.
CUUAAUAAUUUGAGCAGAAAAUCCGUUGGCUUUAUUGACCGUGAGGGUUCAAGUCCCUCUACCCCC